RNAcentral lists this unclassified non-coding RNA (213 nucleotides) under plant metagenome. RNAcentral's name for it is "partial contains small subunit ribosomal RNA, internal transcribed spacer 1, and 5.8S ribosomal RNA". The record is from RNAcentral.
UUUCCGUAGGUGAACCUGCGGAAGGAUCAUUCAUAAUUAGUGUUGUAUGACACUUUUUUGAAUCCAUAUCCACCUGUUGUGCAAUGUUAGGGUUGAUCUUUCUCUCGAGAGGCUCAGCCCCAAACACCAACUUUAUAUCAACUCGUUGUCUGAAAAUUAUUUUGAAUAAAACAAUUCAAAAUACAACUUUCAACAACGGAUAUCUUGGCUCUC